GGCGGCAGGCCUAACACAUGCAAGUCGAGCGGUAACAUUUCUAGCUUGCUAGAAGAUGACGAGCGGCGGACGGGUGAGUAACGCGUAGAAAUCUACCUAGUAGUGGGGGAUAGCCCAGAGAAAUUUGGAUUAAUACCGCAUACGCCCUACGGGGGAAAGCGGGGGAUCUUCGGACCUCGUGCUAUUAGAUGAGUCUGCGUCGGAUUAGCUUGUUGGUGAGGUAAUGGCUCACCAAGGCGACGAUCCGUAGCUGGUCUGAGAGGAUGACCAGCCACACUGGAACUGAGACACGGUCCAGACUCCUACGGGAGGCAGCAGUGGGGAAUAUUGCACAAUGGGCGCAAGCCUGAUGCAGCCAUGCCGCGUGUGUGAAGAAGGCCUUAGGGUUGUAAAGCACUUUCAGCAGUGAGGAAAGGGGUGUCGUUAAUAGCGCCAUCCUGUGACGUUAACUGCAGAAGAAGGACCAGCUAACUCCGUG
This 478-nucleotide ribosomal RNA is filed under the name uncultured bacterium. RNAcentral's name for it is "bacterial SSU rRNA". It matches the Rfam family "Bacterial small subunit ribosomal RNA", at positions 38 to 507 of the family's 1533-position model. The record is from RNAcentral.